This 75-nucleotide transfer RNA is filed under the name Blochmannia endosymbiont of Camponotus (Colobopsis) obliquus. RNAcentral describes it as "tRNA-Arg (CCG) (tRNA-Arg-CCG-1-1)". It matches the Rfam family "tRNA". Rfam says of the family: Transfer RNA (tRNA) molecules are approximately 80 nucleotides in length. Lineage: Bacteria; Pseudomonadati; Pseudomonadota; Gammaproteobacteria; Enterobacterales; Enterobacteriaceae. The record is from Rfam by way of RNAcentral.
GCGCUCGUAGCUCAAAAUGGAUAGAGCGUUGUCUUCCGAAGGCAGAGAGUUCAGGUUCGAAUCCUGUCGAGCGCG